GCUACACAUGCAGUCGAGCGGAACGAGUUAUCUGAACCUUCGGGGAACGAUAACGGCGUCGAGCGGCGGACGGGUGAGUAAUGCCUAGGAAAUUGCCCUGAUGUGGGGGAUAACCAUUGGAAACGAUGGCUAAUACCGCAUGAUGCCUACGGGCCAAAGAGGGGGACCUUCGGGCCUCUCGCGUCAGGAUAUGCCUAGGUGGGAUUAGCUAGUUGGUGAGGUAAGGGCUCACCAAGGCGACGAUCCCUAGCUGGUCUGAGAGGAUGAUCAGCCACACUGGAACUGAGACACGGUCCAGACUCCUACGGGAGGCAGCA
RNAcentral lists this ribosomal RNA (317 nucleotides) under uncultured Vibrio sp. Its description in RNAcentral is "bacterial SSU rRNA". It matches the Rfam family "Bacterial small subunit ribosomal RNA", at positions 50 to 353 of the family's 1533-position model. The record is from RNAcentral. Lineage: Bacteria; Pseudomonadati; Pseudomonadota; Gammaproteobacteria; Vibrionales; Vibrionaceae.